GGGUUUACCCAUUGGUCAGGCUUAAUUGUCUGUACUGGUGAGAUAAAUCUCUACCUUCUGAGGAACUUUCAUGCCAUUUAUUUGGUGUGAUGGGAAAUCAGGACUGUUACUUUUUGAAAAAUUAGAGUGUUUAAAGCAGGCUAACGUCUGAAUACAUUAGCAUGGAAUAAUGAAAUAGGACGGACUGAUUCUAUUUCGUUGGUUUCUAGGAUCACCGUAAUG
This 222-nucleotide ribosomal RNA is filed under the name uncultured Glomeromycotina. Its description in RNAcentral is "partial 18S ribosomal RNA". The record is from RNAcentral. Lineage: Eukaryota; Fungi; Glomeromycota.